Molecule: ribosomal RNA, 879 nt
Filed under: uncultured Methanosarcinales archaeon
Lineage: Archaea; Methanobacteriati; Methanobacteriota; Methanomicrobia; Methanosarcinales
Description: bacterial SSU rRNA
Rfam family: Archaeal small subunit ribosomal RNA
Source: RNAcentral
GAGGCCACUGCUAUCGGAGUUCGAUUAAGCCAUGCGAGUCGAGAGGUGCAAGACCUCGGCAUACUGCUCAGUAACACGUGGACAACCUGCCCUUAGGACGGGGAUAAACCCGGGAAACUGGGUAUAAUACCCGAUAGGUCUCGAUUGCUGGAAUGCAUCGAGAUUUAAAGCUCCGGCGCCUAAGGAUGGGUCUGCGGCCUAUCAGGUAGUAGUGGGUGUAGCGUACCUACUAGCCUACGACGGGUACGGGUUGUGAGAGCAAGAGCCCGGAGAUGGAUUCUGAGACACGAAUCCAGGCCCUACGGGGUGCAGCAGGCGCGAAAACUUUACAAUGCUGGCAACAGCGAUAAGGGAACCUCGAGUGCCAGGUUACAAAUCUGGCUGUCGAGAUGCCUAAAAAGCAUUUCAUAGCAAGGGCCGGGCAAGACCGGUGCCAGCCGCCGCGGUAACACCGGCGGCUCGAGUGGUAACCGUUAUUAUUGGGUCUAAAGGGUCUGUAGCCGGCCGGAUAAGUCUCUUGAGAAAUCUGGCAGCUUAACUGUCAGGCUUUCAGGAGAUACUGUCUGGCUCGAGGCCGGGAGAGGUGAGAGGUACUUCAGGGGUAGGGGUGAAAUCUUGUAAUCCUUGAAGGACCACCAGUGGCGAAGGCGUCUCACCAGAACGGACCUGACGGCAAGGGACGAAAGCUAGGGGCACGAACCGGAUUAGAUACCCGGGUAGUCCUAGCCGUAAACGAUACUCGCUAGGUGUCGGCCACGGUGCGACCGUUGUCGGUGCCGUAGGGAAGCCGUGAAGCGAGCCACCUGGGAAGUACGGCCGCAAGGCUGAAACUUAAAGGAAUUGGCGGGGGAGCACCACAACGGGUGGAGCUUGCGGUUU